GAUGAACGCUGGCGGCGUGCCUAAUACAUGCAAGUCGAGCGAACAGACGAGGGGCUUGCUCCUCUGACGUUAGCGGCGGACGGGUGAGUAACACGUGGAUAACCUACCUAUAAGACUGGGAUAACUUCGGGAAACCGGAGCUAAUACCGCAUAAUAUAUUUAACCGCAUGGUUCAAUAGUGAAAGACGGUUUUGCUGUCACUUAUAGUUGGAUCCGCGCCGCUUUAGCUAGUUGGUAAGGUAACGGCUUACCAAGGCGACGAUGCGUAGCCGACCUGGGAGGGUGAUCGGCCACAUGGGAACUGGAACACGGUCCAGACUCCUACGGGAGGCAGCAGUAGGGAAUCUUCCGCAAGGGGCGAAAGCCUGACGGAGCAACGCGGCGUGAGUGAUGAAGGUCUUCGGAUCGUAAAACUCUGUUAUUAGGGAAGAACAAAUGUGUAAGUAACUAUGCACGUAUUGACGGUACCUAAUCAGAAAGCCACGGCUAACUACGUG
Molecule: ribosomal RNA, 497 nt
Filed under: uncultured bacterium
Lineage: Bacteria
Description: partial 16S ribosomal RNA
Rfam family: Bacterial small subunit ribosomal RNA
Source: RNAcentral